CAGUAGCCGCGGUAAUACGAGGGGGGCAAGCGUUGUUCGGUAUUAUUGGGUGUAAAGGGUGCGUAGGCGGUUUGGCAAGUCUUAUGUGAAAUCUUCGGGCUCAACCCGAAGUCUGCAUGAGAAACUGCCGGGCUUGAGUAUGGGAGAGGUGAGUGGAAUUUCCGGUGUAGCGGUGAAAUGCGUAGAUAUCGGAAGGAACACCUGUGGCGAAAGCGGCUCACUGGACCAUAACUGACACUGAGGCACGAAAGCGUGGGGAGCAAACAGGAUUAGAGACCCCCGUAGUCCCUGUCUCUUAUAC
Molecule: ribosomal RNA, 301 nt
Filed under: uncultured bacterium
Lineage: Bacteria
Description: partial 16S ribosomal RNA
Rfam family: Bacterial small subunit ribosomal RNA
Source: RNAcentral